GCCCAAGUACCAAAGCGGUCUAAUGGAGCGGAUUGCAAAUCCGUACAAUCGUCAGUUCGAAUCUGACCUUGGGCUCCA
Molecule: transfer RNA, 78 nt
Filed under: Candidatus Brocadiales bacterium
Lineage: Bacteria; Pseudomonadati; Planctomycetota; Candidatus Brocadiia; Candidatus Brocadiales
Description: tRNA-Cys
Rfam family: tRNA
About the family: Transfer RNA (tRNA) molecules are approximately 80 nucleotides in length. Their secondary structure includes four short double-helical elements and three loops (D, anti-codon, and T loops).
Source: RNAcentral